This 455-nucleotide ribosomal RNA is filed under the name uncultured Serratia sp. Its description in RNAcentral is "bacterial SSU rRNA". It matches the Rfam family "Bacterial small subunit ribosomal RNA", at positions 1 to 471 of the family's 1533-position model. Lineage: Bacteria; Pseudomonadati; Pseudomonadota; Gammaproteobacteria; Enterobacterales; Yersiniaceae. The record is from RNAcentral.
UCGGCUUAGAGUUUGAUCAUGGCUCACAUUGAACGCUGGCGGCAGGCUUAACACAUGCAAGUCCAGCGGUAGGGGAGCUUGCUCCCUACCAGCGGCGGACGGGUGAGUAAUGUCUGGGAAACUGCCUGAUGGAGGGGGAUAACUACUGGAAACGGUAGCUAAUACCGCAUAACGUCGCAAGACCAAAGAGGUUCGUCUUGCCAUCAGAUGUGCCCAGAUGGGAUUAGCUAGUAGGUGGGGUAAUGGCUCACCUAGGCGACGAUCCCUAGCUGGUCUGAUAGGAUGACCAGCCACACUGGAACUGAGACACGGUCCACACUCCUACGGGAGGCAGCAGUGGGGAAUAUUGCACAAUGGGCGCAAGCCUGAUGCAGCCAUGCCGCGUGUGUGAAGAAGGCCUUCGGGUUGUAAAGCACUUUCAGCGAGGAGGAAGGUGGUGAGUAAUCUCAUCAAUU